RNAcentral lists this long non-coding RNA (230 nucleotides) under Phoenix dactylifera (date palm). RNAcentral's name for it is "long non-coding RNA (PDAC_LNC006032)". The record is from RNAcentral. Lineage: Eukaryota; Viridiplantae; Streptophyta; Magnoliopsida; Arecales; Arecaceae.
AAAAAGAUACCGCGACUUCGGUCUUUUUCAAUAAAAUCAUCACGUAAUAAAUCAUCCAUAUUUGUAGCAAUGAAUCCAUAUUUGUAGCAAUGAAAUAAUAUUGUUCCUUUCCUAUCGUUGAUCAGAGAUUUCUAUAUGAAAAAUACGAAUCGGAGUUUGAAGAAGGGGAAGGAGCCGUCGACCCGCAACAACAGGUUUUUGUUUUUCUAAUGAAGGGGGUUUUCUUCUUC